ACAGAAUCACAGAAUAUCCUAAGCUAGAAGGGACCCAUAAGGAUCAUUGAGUCCAACUCCUUGAAGAGUGCAUUAAAUUCAAAAGAUGCCCAUUCUGCCAGCCCUUUUGCUUUCCUUUUUUCCCAUGGAUUAUGUUGAUAAGGACUACAGAGCCUGAAUUCUACAUUUGGAGAGAGGCUUUCCCAAAGAUCUUAGAGGUGGGAAAAAGAGAAUAAGAAGUGGCUGGAGGGUGAAGAGUUAAGGAACCCGUAGCUUGAGCUGCUCUCGAGGGAGACAGGAAAGCUGUAGAGAUUUGGCACUACAUGCAGAUCCCAAAAAUUAGAUCAUAGCACAUAAUUAUCCUCCAAACUGGUCCCGGUGCCAAAAUCUUAAUAUCUGGGAUUGUUAUAAUUUGAAGUCAUGUAGGAAAUCCAGAGUUCCAAUCAAUUGCAUUCCCAUGCCCAGUCGCUCCCUGUCCUUGCCCGUUUUACAAUAAAACAUACCUGGCAUUGUGUGCAGAGUGAGUAACGAUUCCUGUGCAGAAAGGGAAGAGAGAGAAACACGGAGAACUCUCCCAGGCACUGCAGGCAGCGGGCAGGCAGUGCUGGCACGAUGCGGCCGUGACUCAGCCCUGCGUUCCUCUGCCAGUGGCCGCUGCCUCUUCCACCCCAUCCUGCUCCUUUCGGGACACAGUUUGCAACGUGCAUGCAAAAUCUGCUGCAGUUCUUAUUAGCUCAGCUUGUGUCUUUCUGUCAGGAUGCACCCGGCUCUUCUAAAAUCUCAGCACUUGCACAGGGCUGAAUUCAGUGCAGCCGUUCCUAAAAAAAAAAGGUCGCUGCACAAUGUCCCACAGACUCUCAGGAAUCCAACCAGAAGAGAACGUGAACUUUGCAUCACAGUGCCAGGGGGACAACAAUGCUUUCUUUGGGCAAUAAGUGGGAGCAGGAUGGGGUCCAUCACCCCUGGGAUGGCACAGGGAGCAGGCACAAGGCUUGUUCCAGCACUAAGCACUACACUUCCCUACAUGCACGCACACAGUUCGGCAUGCCACCACCCCAAUGAGCAGCUCUGCAGGCUGGUGGCACCAAACCAGCUUUUCUAUAGCAGCGAGCUGGGGGUGGAAGAUGUUCUGCAGGCAGAGGUGCUGUUAUCUGUGAAUUGGGUGCUGCUAGGAAUAGGAAGCUCAGCCAAGGACGAGCUACCAGAGCUUCUAGUGAGGAAAACAGCAGUGCAGGGGCAGCUGAGCCUGCAGUGAUGAAGGGCAGGACAUGCCUUGCGAUCUGGGCUUUUUUUUUCCCACUUCCUGUUUAUAGGUUGACUGCAUUUCCCCAGCGUUUGAACUUCUCCGUCACGCUGUUUCUCUGCUGCUGCUGACACUGAGUGAGAAUUAAUAAGCUUCCUCUGAGCAAAUAUCUUUAUUUAAACAAGCUGCUGCCCUGCCAGCAGCCCGCUGGUGAAUGGCAUUUUGCAGCAGGCAGGAUGUGGGCAGAGCUCCCCAGCAGCACCAGCAAUGAUCCCAGGUGCUCUCAGCAUUGCAAUAGAAGCACCUGUGCUGAAGGAGUAUUUGCAGGGUUGCUUUCUUUUUUUUCCUCCUUUCCAUCGAAGGAGGCUGAACAUGACUGAGGAUCUGGCUCCAGUCUCUGGUACUACACAGUUGACCUCAAGCCUGGUGAAUUCUUCCAAAAACCCGGCCUGCCUUGCCCCCCAGCCCCAGUCUUCCAACUGUCGUGAGCAGUGGAGCAAGGAGGUGGCAGCUGUGUUUUUGGCUUUUCCUGCAUUGAAUUAUACUGCAGUGAUCUCCAAACAAGACAUUUCUCAAUCAGACGUGAAAUGUUUGUUUUCCUGUUCAAAAAAUUAAUCUGCUGCCCGUGGUAUGCAUGGCAUCUUGCAUAUUUCUCUCCCUACUCACUGUCAAGUGACUUGAUAAUUCCAACAGAAACUGCCACAAAAGCUGGAAGUCAGAUGGUCUGCAACUUAAUUAAUCAAUCAGUUUACUAUAUUAGCAAACUUAAAGGAAUUCUGAUGCGGACCCAAUGCUUAAAUCUGCUGCGACAUCUGCAGUCAAUCAUGCUUACAUUACCCAUUAACAAAUUACAUCUGUGCUAAGCAAGAUACCCUGUGGUUCCACCAUGCAGAGAGCUGGAGGACCACGGGCACCAGGACGAGCAAGGCACAAAGGAGAGAGGUUACAGCAGAACAGAAAAAUCCACAUAUGAAAUGAUGGGCAGCCAUCCAGGAAUAAUGAGACAAAGAUGAUAAUGUAAACCUCAGAAGAGAAAGCGCUGGCUAUUGCAGUCAGGAUUUUUGCAUUUGCAGUGCUAUAGACGGCCAACAGAAAGAAACACAGCCUGUCAAGCAUGUAAAGCAAUCCAACAUACAUUAAAAGAACAUGUAUCAGCUGGAUGUAAGGCACAGACACGCACCCAAGUCUACAUUUAGGUGCUAAAAUGUAAGCACCCCAGCUCCCAGGAGAGCUGAGCAUCCACAGGUAUGUGCAAAGAUAGAC
RNAcentral lists this long non-coding RNA (2485 nucleotides) under Gallus gallus (chicken). RNAcentral describes it as "lncRNA (ENSGALG00010030076.1)". The record is from RNAcentral. Lineage: Eukaryota; Metazoa; Chordata; Aves; Galliformes; Phasianidae.